AACGAACGCUGGCGGCAGGCCUAACACAUGCAAGUCGAACGCCGUAGCAAUACGGAGUGGCAGACGGGUGAGUAACGCGUGGGAACCUUCCCAAUGGUACGGAAUAACUCAGGGAAACUCGAGGUAAUACCGUAUACGCCCGCAAGGGGAAAGAUUCAUCGCCAUUGGAUGGGCCCGCGUCGGAUUAGCUAGUUGGUGAGGUAACGGCUCACCAAGGCGACGAUCCGUAGCUGGUUUGAGAGAAUGACCAGCCACACUGGGACUGAGACACGGCCCAGACUCGUACGGGAGGCAGCAGUGGGGAAUCUUGGACAAUGGGCGCAAGCCUGAUCCAGCCAUGCCGCGUAAGUGACGAAGGCCUUAGGGUUGUAA
Molecule: ribosomal RNA, 372 nt
Filed under: uncultured bacterium
Lineage: Bacteria
Description: bacterial SSU rRNA
Rfam family: Bacterial small subunit ribosomal RNA
Source: RNAcentral